Molecule: ribosomal RNA, 465 nt
Filed under: Vreelandella stevensii
Lineage: Bacteria; Pseudomonadati; Pseudomonadota; Gammaproteobacteria; Oceanospirillales; Halomonadaceae
Description: partial 16S ribosomal RNA
Rfam family: Bacterial small subunit ribosomal RNA
Source: RNAcentral
CCUACGGGCGGCUGCAGUGGGGAAUAUUGGACAAUGGGGGCAACCCUGAUCCAGCCAUGCCGCGUGUGUGAAUAAGGCCCUCGGGUUGUAAAGCACUUUCAGUGAGGAAGAACGCCUGGUGGUUAAUACCCAUCAGGAAAGACAUCACUCACAGAAGAAGCACCGGCUAACUCCGUGCCAGCAGCCGCGGUAAUACGGAGGGUGCGAGCGUUAAUCGGAAUUACUGGGCGUAAAGCGCGCGUAGGUGGCUUGAUAAGCCGGUUGUGAAAGCCCCGGGCUCAACCUGGGAACGGCAUCCGGAACUGUCAAGCUAGAGUGCAGGAGAGGAAGGUAGAAUUCCCGGUGUAGCGGUGAAAUGCGUAGAGAUCGGGAGGAAUACCAGUGGCGAAGGCGGCCUUCUGGACUGACACUGACACUGAGGUGCGAAAGCGUGGGUAGCAAACAGGAUUAGAUACCCCUGUAGUC